Molecule: long non-coding RNA, 235 nt
Organism: Centropristis striata (black sea bass)
Lineage: Eukaryota; Metazoa; Chordata; Actinopteri; Perciformes; Serranidae
Exons: 3
Source: RefSeq, a predicted model, not a curated record
AUGUAAGGAACGGGAGCAACAAGGUAAAUCAUGUUUUGCCCUGAUUGUGGGACUCCAGUGGAAACGUCGUUUAGAUUCUGUCCUGGAUGUGGAUUCAAGUUACAUGCCUUGACUCAAACCAAGACCCAAGAUGUGGAUACGUCAGCACGUCAACCCUCAGUCACUGCUGAGGAGAAGAAGCAGAAAGAGGAUCAGGACCAGCUUCCAGAAGGAGUUAAAGACCAACCAGAAGAUG